This 724-nucleotide ribosomal RNA is filed under the name uncultured bacterium. RNAcentral's name for it is "bacterial SSU rRNA". It matches the Rfam family "Bacterial small subunit ribosomal RNA", at positions 43 to 760 of the family's 1533-position model. The record is from RNAcentral.
CAGGCCUAACACAUGCAAGUCGAACGGUAACAGGAAUUAGCUUGCUAAUUUGCUGACGAGUGGCGCACGGGUGCGUAACGCGUAUGCAAUCUACCUUGUACUGGAGUAUAGCCCAGGGAAACUUGGAUUAAUCCUCCAUAGUCUAUUGAUAUGGCAUCGUAUUAAUAGUAAAGGUUACGGUACAAGAUGAGCAUGCGUCCUAUUAGCUAGUAGGUGUGGUAACGGCACACCUAGGCAACGAUAGGUAGGGGUCCUGAGAGGGAGAUCCCCCACACUGGUACUGAGACACGGACCGGACUCCUACGGGAGGCAGCAGUGAGGAAUAUUGGACAAUGGGCGGGAGCCUGAUCCAGCCAUGCCGCGUGCAGGAAGACUGCCCUAUGGGUUGUAAACUGCUUUUAUACGGGAAGAAUAAGUGUUACGUGUAGCACGAUGACGGUACCGUAAGAGUAAGCACCGGCUAACUCCGUGCCAGCAGCCGCGGUAAUACGGAGGGUGCAAGCGUUAUCCGGAAUCAUUGGGUUUAAAGGGUCCGUAGGUGGACUAAUAAGUCAGUGGUGAAAGUCUGCAGCUUAACUGUAGAAUUGCCAUUGAUACUGUUGGUCUUGAAUUGUUGUGAAGUAACUAGAAUAUGUAGUGUAGCGGUGAAAUGCAUAGAUAUUACAUAGAAUACCGAUUGCGAAGGCAGGUUACUAACAAUAUAUUGACACUGAUGGACGAAAGC